Molecule: ribosomal RNA, 981 nt
Filed under: uncultured bacterium
Lineage: Bacteria
Description: bacterial SSU rRNA
Rfam family: Bacterial small subunit ribosomal RNA
Source: RNAcentral
GAUGAACGCUAGCGGCAGGCUUAACACAUGCAAGUCGAGGGGUAGGAGAAGCUUGCUUUUCUGAGACCGGCGCACGGGUGCGUAACGCGUAUGCAAUCUACCUUUCACAGAGGGAUAGCCCAGAGAAAUUUGGAUUAAUACCUCAUAGUAUAAUUGAAUGGCAUCAUUUAAUUAUUAAAGAUUUAUCGGUGAAAGAUGAGCAUGCGUCCCAUUAGCUAGUUGGUAUGGUAACGGCAUACCAAGGCAACGAUGGGUAGGGGUCCUGAGAGGGAGAUCCCCCACACUGGUACUGAGACACGGACCAGACUCCUACGGGAGGCAGCAGUGAGGAAUAUUGGACAAUGGGCGCAAGCCUGAUCCAGCCAUGCCGCGUGCAGGAUGACGGUCCUAUGGAUUGUAAACUGCUUUUAUACAGGAAGAAACACUCCCUCGUGAGGGAGCUUGACGGUACUGUAAGAAUAAGGAUCGGCUAACUCCGUGCCAGCAGCCGCGGUAAUACGGAGGAUCCAAGCGUUAUCCGGAAUCAUUGGGUUUAAAGGGUCCGUAGGCGGUCAGGUAAGUCAGUGGUGAAAGCCCAUCGCUCAACGGUGGAACGGCCAUUGAUACUGUCUGACUUGAAUUAUUAGGAAGUAACUAGAAUAUGUAGUGUAGCGGUGAAAUGCUUAGAGAUUACAUGGAAUACCAAUUGCGAAGGCAGGUUACUACUAAUUGAUUGACGCUGAUGGACGAAAGCGUGGGUAGCGAACAGGAUUAGAUACCCUGGUAGUCCACGCCGUAAACGAUGGAUACUAGCUGUUGGGAGCAAUCCCAGUGGCUAAGCGAAAGUGAUAAGUAUCCCACCUGGGGAGUACGAACGCAAGUUUGAAACUCAAAGGAAUUGACGGGGGCCCGCACAAGCGGUGGAGCAUGUGGUUUAAUUCGAUGAUACGCGAGGAACCUUACCAAGGCUUAAAUGUAGAUUGACCGUUUGGAAACAGAACU